This 101-nucleotide small nuclear RNA is filed under the name Nomascus leucogenys (northern white-cheeked gibbon). Lineage: Eukaryota; Metazoa; Chordata; Mammalia; Primates; Hylobatidae. The record is from RNAcentral.
GUUGGCUUUGGCAGCACUUUCUAAAAUCAGAAUGAUGCAGAUAAGAUUAACACGGCUCCCAUAUAGAUUACACAAAAUUUUAUGAAGCAUUUCAUAUUUUA